GAGGCUAUAGCUCAGUGGUAGAGCAUGUGCUUAGCAUGCACAAGGUCCUGGGUUCAAUACCCAGUACCUCCA
RNAcentral lists this transfer RNA (72 nucleotides) under Camelus bactrianus (Bactrian camel). It matches the Rfam family "tRNA". Rfam says of the family: Transfer RNA (tRNA) molecules are approximately 80 nucleotides in length. Lineage: Eukaryota; Metazoa; Chordata; Mammalia; Artiodactyla; Camelidae. The record is from Rfam by way of RNAcentral. RNAcentral also lists the same sequence under 2 other names.